Long non-coding RNA from Hemibagrus wyckioides, 626 nucleotides. RefSeq lists it as uncharacterized. The transcript is spliced from 3 exons. The record is from RefSeq and is a predicted model, not a curated record. Lineage: Eukaryota; Metazoa; Chordata; Actinopteri; Siluriformes; Bagridae.
UCGAAAUGUUGUUCCAGUUCGCUAUUUAUUACCUCUUUAAUAAAACGGUAAAGGUGGAAAGUACAUCGCUCAUUGUUUGUUAUUCUGACCAACAAAUUAACCAAGUGACGUCCGAGCAAGACCUUGACAGCGACGAUAAUUGGCUUGAAAUAAAAUGGCCCAGCAGAAAAGAACCUGAGAAGACAGUGCCAGCUAAAGUCCUGCUAUUUGGGGGUUUGUGUUUUUUUAGCUAACCUAUUAGCAAUUUGUUUAAUUGUAUAAAAAGUUUGCAUAAAGGUUGUUUUGCUCUUUUAUAUUAGAUUAUUUAUAUUAGAACUUGUCACAAAGAAGAAUUUGUAUAUUCUGGGUAAAGAUAUUUGGACCGAGGAGGAAAGCAGAGGUGCACGCAUGAAAAAACAAAAAUAGACCAAGCGAACAACAUGGUGGAGCCUAAAAAGCAAGACUGGCAAUGCACGCAACAGCAGCUAGAAAAGUUGUUACCCGUGGCAUCAUCACCUGAUCAUCACCACAGUUCCGAUGACACCACAAACAUAAGGAGUCCACAACAUCCUGACAUUAAGUUAUAUGAUAAUACUGGUCAUGGCAUGCCACCACGAGUAGAUGAGAUCAUGGCAUCCCUUCAUGGU